CUGACUGCUAUCGGAUUGAUACUAAGCCAUGCGAGUCAUUGUAGCAAUACAAGGCAGACGGCUCAGUAACGCGUAGUCAACCUACCCUAUGGACGGGAAUAACCUCGGGAAACUGAGUAUAAUGCCCGAUAGAACAUUAUGCCUGGAAUGGUUUAUGUUCCAAAUGAUUUAUCGCCGUAGGAUGGGACUGCGGCCUAUCAGUUUGUUGGUGAGGUAAUGGCCCACCAAGACUAUUACAGGUACGGGCUCUGAGAGGAGUAGCCCGGAGAUGGGUACUGAGACACGGACCCAGGCCCUAUGGGGCGCAGCAGGCGAGAAAACUUUGCAAUGUGCGAAAGCACGACAAGGUUAAUCCGAGUGAUUUCUGCUAAAGAAAUCUUUUGCCAGUCCUAAAAACACUAACGAAUAAGGGGUGGGCAAGUUCUGGUGUCAGCCGCCGCGGUAAAACCAGCACCUCAAGUGGUCAGGAUGAUUAUUGGGCCUAAAGCAUCCGUAGCCUGCUCUGUAAGUUUUCGGUUAAAUCUGUAUGCUCAACAUACAGGCCGCCGGGAAUACUGCAGGGCUAGGGAGUGGGAGAGGUAGACGGUACUCGGGAGGAAGUGGUAAAAUGCUUUGAUCUCUCGAUGACCACCUGUGGCGAAGGCGGUCUACCAGAACACGUCCGACGGUGAGGGAUGAAAGCUGGGGGAGCAAACCGGAUUAGAUACCCGGGUAGUCCCAGCCGUAAACUAUGCAAACUCAGUGAUGCAUUGGCUUGUGGCCAAUGCAGUGUUGCAGGGAAGCCGUUAAGUCUGCCGCCUGGGAAGUACGUACGCAAGUAUGAAA
RNAcentral lists this ribosomal RNA (825 nucleotides) under uncultured marine group I thaumarchaeote. Its description in RNAcentral is "SSU rRNA". It matches the Rfam family "Archaeal small subunit ribosomal RNA", at positions 23 to 854 of the family's 1478-position model. Lineage: Archaea; Thermoproteati; Nitrososphaerota. The record is from RNAcentral.